GAUGAACGCUGGCGGCGUGCCUAAUACAUGCAAGUCGAGCGAACGGACGAGAAGCUUGCUUCUCUGAUGUUAGCGGCGGACGGGUGAGUAACACGUGGAUAACCUACCUAUAAGACUGGGAUAACUUCGGGAAACCGGAGCUAAUACCGGAUAAUAUUUUGAACCGCAUGGUUCAAAAGUGAAAGACGGUCUUGCUGUCACUUAUAGAUGGAUCCGCGCUGCAUUAGCUAGUUGGUAAGGUAACGGCUUACCAAGGCAACGAUGCAUAGCCGACCUGAGAGGGUGAUCGGCCACACUGCAACUGAGACACGGUCCAGACUCCUACGGGAGGCAGCAGUAGGGAAUCUUCCGCAAUGGGCGAAAGCCUGACGGAGCAACGCCGCGUGAGUGAUGAAGGUCUUCGGAUCGUAAAACUCUGUUAUUAGGGAAGAACAUAUGUGUAAGUAACUGUGCACAUCUUGACGGCACCUAAUCAGAAAGCCACGGCUAACUACGUG
This 497-nucleotide ribosomal RNA is filed under the name uncultured bacterium. RNAcentral describes it as "partial 16S ribosomal RNA". It matches the Rfam family "Bacterial small subunit ribosomal RNA", at positions 28 to 507 of the family's 1533-position model. The record is from RNAcentral.